UAGCAUAUCAAUAAGCGGAGGAAAAGAAACCAACAGGGAUUGCCCUAGUAACGGCGAGUGAAGCGGCAACAGCUCAAAUUUGAAAUCUGGCUCUUUUAGAGUCCGAGUUGUAAUUUGCAGAGGGCGCUUUGGCUUUGGCAGCGGUCCAAGUUCCUUGGAACAGGACGUCACAGAGGGUGAGAAUCCCGUACGUGGUCGCUGGCUAUUGCCGUGUAAAGCCCCUUCGACGAGUCGAGUUGUUUGGGAAUGCAGCUCUAAAUGGGAGGUACAUUUCUUCUAAAGCUAAAUAUUGGCCAGAGACCGAUAGCGCACAAGUAGAGUGAUCGAAAGAUGAAAAGCACUUUGGAAAGAGAGUCAAACAGCACGUGAAAUUGUUGAAAGGGAAGCGCUUGCAGCCAGACUUGCUUACAGUUGCUCAUCCGGGUUUUUACCCGGUGCACUCUUCUGUAGGCAGGCCAGCAUCAGUUUGGGCGGUAGGAUAAAGGUCUCUGUCACGUACCUCCUUUCGGGGAGGCCUUAUAGGGGAGACGACAUACUACCAGCCUGGACUGAGGUCCGCGCAUCUGCUAGGAUGCUGGCGUAAUGGCUGUAAGCGGCCCGUCUUGAAACACGGACCAAGGAGUCUAACAUCUAUGCGAGUGUUUGGGUGUCAAGCCCGAGCGCGUAAUGAAAGUGAACGGAGGUGGGAACCCGCAAGGGUGCACCAUCGACCGAUCCUGAUGUCUUCGGAAGGAUUUGAGUAAGAGCAUGGCUGUUGGGACCCGAAAGAUGGUGAACUAUGCUUGAAUAGGGUGAAGCCAGAGGAAACUCUGGUGGAGGCUCGCAGCGGUUCUGACGUGCAAAUCGAUCGUCAAAUUUGGGCAUAGGGGCGAAAGACUAAUCGAACUAUCUAGUAGCUGGUUCCUGCCAAU
Molecule: ribosomal RNA, 911 nt
Filed under: Alternaria alstroemeriae
Lineage: Eukaryota; Fungi; Ascomycota; Dothideomycetes; Pleosporales; Pleosporaceae
Description: LSU rRNA
Rfam family: Eukaryotic large subunit ribosomal RNA
Source: RNAcentral